RNAcentral lists this ribosomal RNA (318 nucleotides) under uncultured Coprococcus sp. Its description in RNAcentral is "bacterial SSU rRNA". It matches the Rfam family "Bacterial small subunit ribosomal RNA", at positions 28 to 339 of the family's 1533-position model. Lineage: Bacteria; Bacillati; Bacillota; Clostridia; Lachnospirales; Lachnospiraceae. The record is from RNAcentral.
GAUGAACGCUGGCGGCGUGCCUAACACAUGCAAGUCGAACGGAGUUUAGAUGAAACCUAGUGAUUCUAAACUUAGUGGCGGACGGGUGAGUAACGCGUGGGUAACCUGCCCUAUAGAGUGGGAUAGCAGUUAGAAAUGACUGAUAAUACCACAUAAGACCACAGUACGGCAUCGUACAGGGGUCAAAGAUUUAUCGCUAUAGGAUGGACCCGCGUCUGAUUAGCUGGUUGGUGAGACAACAGCCCACCAAGGCGACGAUCGGUAGCCGACCUGAGAGGGUGAUCGGCCACAUUGGAACUGAGAUACGGUCCAGACUCC